Molecule: long non-coding RNA, 781 nt
Filed under: Homo sapiens (human)
Lineage: Eukaryota; Metazoa; Chordata; Mammalia; Primates; Hominidae
Description: non-protein coding lnc-SLC12A2-2:1
Source: RNAcentral
UUUUUUUUUAAAGUAUAGUGCAAUGUAGUGAAUGCAGACAAAAUGUUCCUAUAACAUAUCUGUACAGAUUUUUUUCUAAGACGGGAGUCUUGCUAUGUUGUCCAGGCUGGUCUUGAACUCUGGGGUCCUCCUUUGUCUGGGCUUGUUCCAUCUUCCAAAUAUGUAGCAGCAACAUAAUGACACUAAAAACUGCCCUAAAAAUCUGUAACAGAAAAAAAAAAUAGCUUACAUGCUACUCAAAAAAUUACCUAAAUACCUCUCAAAAUCAAAACAAAAAGCAAAGUAAAAAAUAAAACAGGACAUACUUGCAAGAAAAGAUAUGACCUAAAGGUUGUAUCUUAGCCCUGUUUGUUUUUUGAAUAAAAUAUUAAGUUUUAAGCAUUUAUUUACUGUUUACAUACAUUAGGCCUUACCAUAUUAUCAGGCACUAUUCUAAGUAUUUUACGAAUAGUACUUUAUGUAAUCCUCAUAGCUCCACAAGUAUGAGGGUGUGGUGGCUCAUGCCUGUAAUCCUAGCACUUUGGAAAGCAGACUGCUUAAGUCCAGGAGUUCAAGACCAGCUUAGGCAACAUGGCCAUACCCUGUUUCUACAAAAAACAAAAAAAUUAGCCGGGGAUGGUGGCCUGCACCUGUGGUCCCAGCUACUCAGGAGGCUGAGGUGGGAGGAUCACUUGAGCCUGGGAGAUCAAGGCUGCAGUGAGCUGUGAUCUUACCACUGCACUCCAGACUGGGUGACAGAGCGAGACUCUGUCUAAAAAAAAAAAAAGCUACCAUUGUUAUA